This is a long non-coding RNA of Ictalurus punctatus (channel catfish), 779 nucleotides long. NCBI's taxonomy places the organism in Eukaryota, Metazoa, Chordata, Actinopteri, Siluriformes, Ictaluridae. The record is from Ensembl.
CUGCAGAGGAGGAGAUUCGUUCAGAGUCUGUCUUAACGAUAUCUGUUCAUAUAUAGACAGGAGCAAAAAUCCUGUGAGGACAGAUAUCGAUGCAUGCACAAAAAUGUGAUAUACUUUAAAAAGGGAAUAGCCACUUGCUUUUAUUAUUUGCACUUUGGCCUUAUUAGAGUGGUGAAAAGUAUUCUAAUUCUGCUUUUCUUACAGUGUCGGAAAUCUGAGAGGAAUUCUGUCAGGUAACACGGCAGAUGUUUCAUACACAAGGCUGGAGCACCAACAGAUGGCACUGUUCCACAGAGAGAGGAAAAAAAAAAUCAAGCCUCAUCCUUACAGCACGACUCCUCUGAUGUCUUAUGCAUGAUGCUUUUGCUUAGAUGUAUUUGAUAAUUGAUGCAUGCUUGUUUCAGGCGCUGGAUUAUUCGCACACUGUUAUAUAAUAUUCCUGCAUAUUUCUAACAUGACGCUCAGAAAACUGCUUCAGCAGAUCUCAGAAGAACGCUUCCUCUACAGCCUGGUCCACGUUACUGUAAGUCUUAGAUUGUGGGUUUACGAUCAAUAAUUCAGUAUUCAGUCAGCAUAAUUCAGUAUUCAGUCAGUAUAAUCAGUAUUCAGUCAGUCUAAUUCAGUAUUCAGUCAGUAUAAUCAGUAUUCAGUCAGCAUAAUUCAGUAUUCAGUCAGUAUAAUCAGUAUUCAGUCAGUAUAAUCAGGUAUUCAGUCAGUAUAAUCAGUAUUCAGUCAGUAUAAUCGGUAUUCAGUCAGUAUAAUCGGUAUUCAGUCAGUAU